CUGGCGGUGUGCCUCAUACAUGCAAGUCGAACGAGAAACUCACUUCGGUGAGUGGAAAGUGGCGGACGGGUGAGUAAUAUGUAGGAAAUCUGCCCUAGAGAGGGGGACAACAGAGGGAAACUUCUGCUAAUACCCCAUACGAGCUUGGUUGAAAUACCAAUCUUGAAAAACUCCGGUGCUCUAGGAUGAGCCUGCAUCUGAUUAGCUAGUUGGUGGUGUAAUGGACCACAAAGGCGACGAUCAGUAGCUGGUUUGAGAGGAUGAUCAGCCACAAUGGGACUGAGACACGGCCCGUACUCCUACGGGAGGCAGCAGUAGGGAAUUUUGCGCAAUGGGGGAAACCCUGACGCAGCAACACCGCGUGAAUGUUAAGCCCUUCGGGGUAUAAAGUUCUGUCAAUGGGGAAGAAUAAAUGACUGUACCCAUAAAGGAAGCACCGGCUAACUCCGUGCCAGCCGCAGC
This 462-nucleotide ribosomal RNA is filed under the name uncultured bacterium. Its description in RNAcentral is "bacterial SSU rRNA". It matches the Rfam family "Bacterial small subunit ribosomal RNA", at positions 36 to 518 of the family's 1533-position model. The record is from RNAcentral.